Molecule: ribosomal RNA, 446 nt
Filed under: uncultured Malikia sp.
Lineage: Bacteria; Pseudomonadati; Pseudomonadota; Betaproteobacteria; Burkholderiales; Comamonadaceae
Description: bacterial SSU rRNA
Rfam family: Bacterial small subunit ribosomal RNA
Source: RNAcentral
GCGGUGGAUGAUGUGGUUAAUUCGAUGCAACGCGAAAACCUUACCACCUUUGACAUGGCAGGAAGGCUUCAGAGAUGAGGCUGUGCUCGAAAGAGAACCUGCACACAGGUGCUGCAUGGCUGUCGUCAGCUCGUGUCGUGAGAUGUUGGGUUAAGUCCCGCAACGAGCGCAACCCUUGCCAUUAGUUGCUACGAAAGGGCACUCUAAUGGGACUGCCGGUGACAAACCGGAGGAAGGUGGGGAUGACGUCAAGUCCUCAUGGCCCUUAUAGGUGGGGCUACACACGUCAUACAAUGGCCGGUACAAAGGGCUGCAAACCCGCGAGGGGGAGCCAAUCCAUCAAAGCCGGUCGUAGUCCGGAUCGCAGUCUGCAACUCGACUGCGUGAAGUCGGAAUCGCUAGUAAUCGUGGAUCAGCAUGUCACGGUGAAUACGUUCCCGGGUCUU